This 253-nucleotide ribosomal RNA is filed under the name uncultured bacterium. RNAcentral's name for it is "partial 16S ribosomal RNA". It matches the Rfam family "Bacterial small subunit ribosomal RNA", at positions 524 to 776 of the family's 1533-position model. The record is from RNAcentral.
UACAGGGGGUGCAAACGUUGCUCGGAAUCAUUGGGCGUAAAGCGCACGUAGGCGGUUUGUUAUGUCGGAUGUGAAAGCCCUUGGCUCAACUAAGGAAGUGCAUCCGAAACUGACAAGCUAGAGUACUAAAGAGGGUCGCGGAAUUCCCGGUGUAGAGGUGAAAUUCGUAGAUAUCGGGAGGAACACCGGUGGCGAAGGCGGCGACCUGGGUAGAUACUGACGCUGAGGUGCGAAAGCGUGGGGAGCAAACAGG